Molecule: ribosomal RNA, 253 nt
Filed under: uncultured bacterium
Lineage: Bacteria
Description: partial 16S ribosomal RNA
Rfam family: Bacterial small subunit ribosomal RNA
Source: RNAcentral
UACAGAGGGGGCGAGCGUUAUUCGGAAUUAUUGGGCGUAAAGGGCGCGUAGGCGGCUUUUCAAGUGACGGGUGAAAUCCCUCGGCUUAACCGAGGAACUGCCUGUCAGACUGGAAGGCUUGAGACCGGGAGAGGUGAGUGGAAUUCCCAGUGUAGCGGUGAAAUGCGUAGAUAUUGGGAGGAACACCAGUGGCGAAGGCGGCUUUCUGGUACGGCACUGACGCUGAGACGCGAAAGCGUGGGGAGCGAACAGG